Molecule: non-coding RNA, 2114 nt
Organism: Pelodiscus sinensis (Chinese soft-shelled turtle)
Lineage: Eukaryota; Metazoa; Chordata; Testudines; Trionychidae
Source: RefSeq, a predicted model, not a curated record
CGUUGGUCAGAGAUGUGGCUGGAGGCAAAGGGCACAGCUGGAUGGGGUUGCUGAAACAGCCCCUUGUGACAAUAAGGAGCGAAAUGUAAGUUAGGGCAGCUCAGAUGGACUUUUUCUCACCAGUGAGAGAUGUGCAUAGGUGGGCACGCCCUUUGGGCAGCUCUGAAGAGGCACUACACCACACCAUUCCUUGUUGCUGGAGAGCUGGGGGACAGCCAGAGCUGCUCUUUUGCUGUUUGGCAUGUGUGUUUAUGUAACAACUAUUACUUCAUUCUAACUUGUGCUCCAGGAUAAAGGCUUGGAGAGAAAUUAGGUUUCAACCAUAACACUGUGGGGUCAGUCUGUUUGAUCCACUUGAGUGUGAUUGUUUCAACAUAAAUUCUUCCAAGUUGCUAAUAGUACACCAUAGCACAUCAGCUGUACCAACUGUGCAACAUGUUUCCCCACUCAUGUACGACCAGUUCUGGAGAAUGGUGAAUGGUCUUGCUCCAUUUGAGUGCUAAGGCCUGCGGGUGCAUAUAGAUGAAUCCAAUAGAAUUUCCUAGGGAUGAACCAAUAGGGUUCUAUCGACAUUAGUCUUUAAUUAAUCUGUGGAAUUUAAUAGCAAAUCAUAUCCUCACUCUACCAUAUUUAAAUUGUCAUAUGGAAUUUCUAUAGAGGAAGAACCCUUGGAAGACUUACCAUUUACUUUUAAAUGCUGUUGAACAAAACAGAAAGGGAAGUGUAGGGAGGGAGCAGGGUCUGUAUUCUCCAGUAUUAUGUGGCAGUACACACAGGUAGGAGGCUCAUAUUCAUAGAUUCCAAGGCUACUUUAGUCAACUCAUCAGACCUUCUCAGAUGAGCACAGGCCAUAGAACUUCCUGCAAAUAAUUCCUAGAGCAGGUCUUUUAGAAGAGCAUCCAGUCUGGAUUUAAAAAUUGUUAGCAAUGGAGACUCCAGCAUGACCCUCGGUAAGUUGUUCCAAUGCUUUAUUACUCUCAUUUCCAGUCUAAGUUUGUUUAGUUUCAACUUCCAGCCAGUAGAUUUUGUUAUACCUUCUUCGCUAGACUGAAGAGCUCAUUAUUAAAUAUUUGUUCUCCAAGCAGGCACUUACAGAGUGUGAUCAGGUCUCCCUUUAACUUUCUCUUUGUUAAAAUAAAUAGAGUAAAUUCCUUCAGUCCAUCACUAUGAGGCAGGAUUUCUAAUCCUUUCAUUUUUGUCAUGGCUCUUCUGCCUCUUUAAUUUAGCAGCAUCCUUCUUGAAUUGUGGACAUCAGAACUGGACAGAGAAUUCCUGCAGUAGUCACACCUCUCUACUCCUACUUGAGAUUCUCCUGCUUAUGUGUGACAGUAAUGGAGCAAUGCCAAUUUUGACCAGCUGAGGAACUGGCUCAGUUGCUACUCAUGACUCUUGGAUCAAAUAACCGAUUUCCAGAUGAAGAUGUGUAUUGCUGAGGAUUGCCAUGUUAAUAUCCACUAGGCAACUGGAGUUUUAGCCAAGUCCCCAGCUUGAUUGAAACAACAAUGUCCAUUCAAUCAGGAGUUGUGACACUGUUGUACUGUGUGUUCCAUGGAGACCUGGCUGCCACUGGUAUCUGCAGUUACUCUGUAACCUCCUGCUGAGCAAAAAGUAGUGGCAGGUGCAAUGAGGAAUCCUGAGGCUGCAGUGUGAGAGUACACAAACUUUACAGAGAGAGAGUGAUUGCAGGAGAAGGAGUGAACAUGGAUUUCCCUGAAAGACACAUGCCCAUUCCUUUGUUGCAACAUUGGGUUAAAUAAAUUGGCGCACACCACAAUGUGUUUUUACAGGAUGGCUGCUAGUUUCCUUAUAUUUUAAUAGGCUCGCUCCUGCUGUGUCUCAGACACAGUAACUAGAACUGGGCCCCAUGUGAUGAGCUCUCAGUCACACCACAGCUGUCAUGCUAUGGUACAAAGGACAAGCUGAAUUCUUGUAAAAAAUAAUGCCUUGUCUUCUUUACACAGCUCAGCCCAUUUCCUUUCCAUAUUUCUCGUUGUCUCUCCUCUCCCAGGAAGUGAUUUAGCACCAGCAGCUCUUUGAGAUACCUCGUCAAAACAUCUCAAGGGGCAGCCAUGUUAGUCUGUAACGUUACAAACAAUGAGUAGUCCUGCAGCACU